CGGGCAGUAGCGCAGCUUGGUAGCGCGCUUCGUUCGGGACGAAGAGGUCGUGGGUUCAAAUCCCGCCUGCCCGACCA
This 77-nucleotide transfer RNA is filed under the name marine actinobacterium MedAcidi-G3. RNAcentral's name for it is "tRNA-Pro". It matches the Rfam family "tRNA". Rfam says of the family: Transfer RNA (tRNA) molecules are approximately 80 nucleotides in length. Their secondary structure includes four short double-helical elements and three loops (D, anti-codon, and T loops). Further hydrogen bonds mediate the characteristic L-shaped molecular structure. tRNAs have two regions of fundamental functional importance: the anti-codon, which is responsible for specific mRNA codon recognition, and the 3' end, to which the tRNAs corresponding amino acid is attached (by aminoacyl-tRNA synthetases). tRNAs cope with the degeneracy of the genetic code in two manners: having more than one tRNA (with a specific anti-codon) for a particular amino acid; and 'wobble' base-pairing, i.e. permitting non-standard base-pairing at the 3rd anti-codon position. Lineage: Bacteria; Bacillati; Actinomycetota; Actinomycetes. The record is from RNAcentral. RNAcentral also lists the same sequence under 4 other names.